Molecule: ribosomal RNA, 500 nt
Filed under: uncultured bacterium
Lineage: Bacteria
Description: partial 16S ribosomal RNA
Rfam family: Bacterial small subunit ribosomal RNA
Source: RNAcentral
AUUGAACGCUGGCGGAAUGCUUUACACAUGCAAGUCGAACGGCAGCACGGACUUCGGUCUGGUGGCGAGUGGCGAACGGGUGAGUAAUGUAUCGGAACGUGCCCGGUCGUGGGGGAUAACGUAGUGAAAAUUACGCUAAUACCGCAUACGAUCUAUGGAUGAAAGCGGGGAAUCGCAAGACCUCGCGCGAUUGGAGCGGCCGAUAUCAGAUUAGGUAGUUGGUGGGGUAAAGGCCCACCAAGCCAACGAUCUGUAGCUGGUCUGAGAGGACGACCAGCCACACUGGAACUGAGACACGGUCCAGACUCCUACGGGAGGCAGCAGUGGGGAAUUUUGGACAAUGGGCGAAAGCCUGAUCCAGCCAUUCCGCGUGCAGGAUGAAGGCCCUCGGGUUGUAAACUGCUUUUGUACAGAACGAAAAGGUUUCUACUAAUACUAGGAGCUCAUGACGGUACUGUAAGAAUAAGCACCGGCUAACUACGUGCCAGCCGCCGCAGUAA